AGGCCUAUGGUGCGGUCCAGAGCCAGGCGCCUGAUGCCUAUGGUGCGGUCCAGAGCCAGGUGCCCGUAUCAAGCAUACAAACUCCUGCAGUACAUGCAGCAUCGUCUAAUGCACCACAGCCCGACCAGUCCAACUUACAGAUCCUCUCUGUAUCCGUUUCUCUGCCUUGCUUUACUGUACUCAACUAUGAAUCAGCUGGCACACAACAAUAAAUAAUGCUUUUAAGUGAAG
This is a long non-coding RNA of Monopterus albus (swamp eel), 231 nucleotides long. RefSeq lists it as uncharacterized. Lineage: Eukaryota; Metazoa; Chordata; Actinopteri; Synbranchiformes; Synbranchidae. The transcript is spliced from 2 exons. The record is from RefSeq and is a predicted model, not a curated record.